UCGUGGACGUUGUUGCUACUUGCAACGGUCGCAACAGCUUGUACUUUUCAUAAUCCCAUCGCUUGGUUGACUAUCUUGUUUGUUUAUACGAUCGAUACGAUGGCGUCCGGUGGUGAAAGUACAACAGACGAAAGGACUGAAGCAGUAGCAGCUCAACCCAUCGCCAAUGUUGUGUCCGAAACAGCCCACGUAAGGGAGAUAACCUAACACCUUCUCGACCACCUUGGAUUAUGGGGCCUGGGGUACGAGCGGUAAAGUAAUAUCCAUGGACAAGGAUUCGGAUCUGUCGGGUGUGCCUCCUAAAAAAGCUCGAGUCGAGGUUCAAUCAUUACCUACCAGGCAGUACUUAGACCAAACCGUAGUGCCCAUCUUGCUGCAGGCACUAUCGAGCCUAGCCAAGGAGAGACCACCUGAUCCCAUCAGCUUCCUAGCGGGUUACUUAUUAAGAAACAAGAACCAAUAUGACAACGGUGGGUCUCCACCAACUAGCCAAUAAGCACAUUCUACACUGUUGACCGUGGGAGGAGAAUAAAAUUGUUUUGUGAGUUUUUCAUGAACAUGAAUUGAGACAUGGUGACGAUAUUUGAUCGUUAUACUUUUUAAAAUAAAUAAAGAUGACAUAGCUUUUACAUAA
This is an RNA transcript of Cephus cinctus (wheat stem sawfly), 634 nucleotides long. It is a transcript of the gene named protein dpy-30 homolog, with no coding region annotated. The record is from RefSeq and is a predicted model, not a curated record. The transcript is spliced from 3 exons. Lineage: Eukaryota; Metazoa; Arthropoda; Insecta; Hymenoptera; Cephidae.